UCCCUGGUGGUCCAGUGGCUAAGACUCCCUGCUUCCAAUACAGGGUGCCUGGGUUCGAUUCCUGGUCAGGGAA
Molecule: transfer RNA, 73 nt
Filed under: Ovis aries (sheep)
Lineage: Eukaryota; Metazoa; Chordata; Mammalia; Artiodactyla; Bovidae
Rfam family: tRNA
About the family: Transfer RNA (tRNA) molecules are approximately 80 nucleotides in length.
Source: Rfam by way of RNAcentral